Molecule: non-coding RNA, 414 nt
Filed under: Pongo abelii (Sumatran orangutan)
Lineage: Eukaryota; Metazoa; Chordata; Mammalia; Primates; Hominidae
Source: RNAcentral
AAGAGAGCCUUCCCUCCCCACCAUUCCCAGAAAAGGAGGAAGGGACUGAUGGACUCUCUGGGAACCCCCUCCCCUCCCUGCGCCUCGUCAUCAGGAGUCAAAUUCGAAGAAAAGGUUUAGCAGGGACAGAGAAGCGACCUGUCCCGGAAACCCCUUAAAGCCUGCGGCACGCGAAGAGGGAAGCAGAGGGGAGCGAUGGAUACUGAGGCUUCCGGAGGCGGGGAUCGAACCCUAGGCUUGAGCAUGGUGCUGCCCAGUCCGCUCGGAGGGCCGACCAGCAGGACGAGCUCUUCCCGGCGAGGUGCGGGAAGGAGGAACAUGUAGGGGACCCAGCAUGGAGUUCUGAGGACAGAGAAGCAGGGGGCUCCUACAUCCAGAGACACCAAAGACAGAAAAUAAACCGACUUAAAGCAA